Micropterus salmoides (largemouth bass) is the source of this 1652-nucleotide long non-coding RNA. RefSeq lists it as uncharacterized. NCBI's taxonomy places the organism in Eukaryota, Metazoa, Chordata, Actinopteri, Centrarchiformes, Centrarchidae. The record is from RefSeq and is a predicted model, not a curated record. The transcript is spliced from 2 exons.
AUUUAUGAGAGACAGUAGAUCUAAAUCUGUAAUGAAAUAAUCUACUGUGCUACUGCCAAGAGCGAUCUCUCUGACGGUCUGUUGGUGUUUCAGGAGGAGCAGAAGUUGAAGCUGCCAAGGAGAGACGGUCAGGAGUCUGUGAGGACCAUUCAGCUCAGAGACUCAGCCACUGCUCAGAAGCUGCAGGCGGCCAUAUCAGAUGCUCAGGUGGCGCAGCAGCAGCACCGUAUGGUGAGACAGAAGUCGCAGCGCUUCCUCAAACUGAACAACAACCAGUGAGGUCACUUCCUGUCAGCACUCCUGCUGGUUUAUAUCUUACACUGCAUCUUAAAUGUGGGACUGUUCCUUUAAGAGACAACACUGCUGAUCUGUCACAUGAUUCACCUGGGCCAUCACAGCUCACCUGAAAUACUGAGGUUUUAUUUAAACUCAGUUUAGGCUUUAUUUUAUUUUAUUUUAAUUCAAAUUAAUCACCACAGUUCAAAUUCUGCUGUAUUAUUUGAUUAAUUUAGGUACACGCUUCAGUGUUAUUACACAUAAACUUGCAGAUAUUUUUAUGAGAGAACGAUGGAGAAACAAAAACUGGUUCAUGUUCUGUGUUUCUCCCCUGAAAUAUUGAAAUGUGUUGUGGGUUUGAUUCCCACCGGAGGCUCUUAUUUUGAAGUCGUGUACCCUUCAGCACAUGGCUGCUGGAGCCAUGAGGUUGUUGUUUGAACUUCAGCUCGGUCAGCAGGACCUACUCUGAAAACAUCAAUGACUUCUGUCGCUAAAGAAUGAAAGUCGAACAUCAGCUGUUAAAUUAAUGUUGAAUCUGAUAACAGAGCUGCAGCUAAAAAUGUACCAAAGCUCAGUGAUUUCUCAUUAUCUGUCGAAAACCUCCUGAUGAAUAUAAAUGUGGUGGUCUCUUGAGUUAUUCUGAAGGUUUAUAUUUUAGUCUUCAGUUUCAGGAUGCUGGGUAUUUUCGUCCCUGCUGUUUGCCUGAAGGUUGCACUGUCGCAUUUUGAAUAUGAAGCCAUAAAAUCAUGUUGCACUAAACAAAUAUUUUACAAUAAUCAGUUUGUUGAUGGUAUGAAUGUUUCAUGUUGUUCAACUUUAAAGAAACAAACACAUGAAGAUCUGAAAAUAGUAAUCCAACAAGUUAAUUACAUCUUAUAAACUCAGAAGAGAAUAAAAUAAAAGUCUGAGAUUACUCAGAAUUCCAAUUUGAAUUGACUGUGUAAUCCAUAAAUUCCCAAAUUCAUGAUUCAGUUUGAUUCAUCUUAGUUCAAGUUUUUUAUGUUUAAAAAUUAAAGAACAAUAAAAUUCCUUCUUUUUCUUUCACUGAUCAAUAAAUCAGUGAGUUUCACAUCGUCCUGUGUUUACUGUUUGAAGAACAGUUUACUUGUGAACUUUAAAUCAGUUUGAUUGCUGAGUGAGAUGAGGAAAUAUUUGUAUUAUCUUUGCUGUAACCAAGUGUUGGUCUUCAUGUUGAUUUGUGAGAAGUUGAACUUUAAGUUUGAAGUAAAAAGAAAACGUUCUGUAACCUGAAUCAUGUAAAGAUGUAAUAACGUCUGCUGGACUGUUUGUUUAAGAGUGGACUUUGUGAUCAGAGUGAGACAUCACCUGCUGUAUUCACAAAACAUCUUUGGAAUAAACCAUCAUCUCUGCUGUUA